GUUUUCCUGGAAGCGAAAAUGAGAGCUAUGUCCUGUACUCAUGUGUUAGGUGAUACAUUCUACGGGACUGGAUACACCGUGAGCUCAUAUAGCCAAGUAAUCCUAACGUAUUUUCCCCGCUCAGGAUACAGCAUCAGCCACAUUGCUUCAACAUAAUCCCUGUAACGUAAAUAGGCACCAGGUGAUGAAUCCUGCCAGUGUUGAAGGAGCUCGAUCGUCUUCGAAUACCAUGAACUUCAUAGCCCUUCUCCAGAAGAAAUUCUGCC
Long non-coding RNA from Varroa destructor (honeybee mite), 266 nucleotides. Lineage: Eukaryota; Metazoa; Arthropoda; Arachnida; Mesostigmata; Varroidae. The record is from RefSeq and is a predicted model, not a curated record.